Molecule: non-coding RNA, 168 nt
Organism: Callorhinus ursinus (northern fur seal)
Lineage: Eukaryota; Metazoa; Chordata; Mammalia; Carnivora; Otariidae
Source: RefSeq, a predicted model, not a curated record
UUCCAGACUCUUCCUUCAGAAUGCAAUUUCUCAUCUUGGCUGGCCUUUUGAGCAUUGCCACUGCUCUGCCCAUCCCUCUUGAACAAUUUGAAGGAAGUACCAGUGAACAGAGAUUUGGCUUUUACCCACCACCAGGACCACCAUUUUUUCCCCAGAUCCUGUUUCCCC